ACGGGUGAGUAAUACGCGGGCAACCUGCCUAUGCUUCGGGAUAAGCUUUGGAAACGGGGUCUAAUACCGGAUGUGCCUGUCUGGUCGCAUGGCUGGGCGGGGAAAGAUGUUUCGGCGGGGGAUGGGCUCGCGGCCUAUCAGCUUGUUGGUGGGGUGAUGGCCUACCAAGGCGUCGACGGGUAGCCGGCCUGAGAGGGUGGUCGGCCACACUGGGACUGAGAUACGGCCCAGACUCCUACGGGAGGCAGCAGUGGGGGAUAUUGCACAAUGGGCGCAAGCCUGAUGCAGCGACGCCGCGUGGGGGAUGGAGGCUUUCGGGUUGUAAACCCCUUUCGGCGCGGGACAAGGCUCCGUUUGGCGGGGUUGAGGGUACGCGUCAAAGAAGCGCCGGCUAACUACGUGCCAGCAGCCGCGGUAAUACGUAGGGCGCGAGCGUUGUCCGGAAUUAUUGGGCGUAAAGGGCUCGUAGGCGGCUUGUCGCGUCUGCUGUGAAAACGCGGGGCUCAACUCCGCGCGUGCAGUGGGUACGGGCAGGCUGGAGUGCGGCAGGGGUGGCUGGAAUUCCUGGUGUAGCGGUGGAAUGCGCAGAUAUCAGGAAGAACACCGAUGGCGAAAGCAGGCCACUGGGCCGUCACUGACGCUGAGGAGCGAAAGCGUGGGGAGCGAACAGGAUUAGAUACCCUGGUAGUCCA
This 692-nucleotide ribosomal RNA is filed under the name uncultured bacterium. RNAcentral describes it as "bacterial SSU rRNA". It matches the Rfam family "Bacterial small subunit ribosomal RNA", at positions 102 to 797 of the family's 1533-position model. The record is from RNAcentral.